This 501-nucleotide ribosomal RNA is filed under the name uncultured bacterium. RNAcentral's name for it is "partial 16S ribosomal RNA". It matches the Rfam family "Bacterial small subunit ribosomal RNA", at positions 30 to 523 of the family's 1533-position model. The record is from RNAcentral.
AUUGAACGCUGGCGGCAGGCUUAACACAUGCAAGUCGAGCGGGGGAAGGUAGCUUGCUACCGGACCUAGCGGCGGGCGGGUGAGUAAUGCUUAGGAGUCUGCCUAUUAGUGGGGGACAACAUCUCGAAAGGGAUGCUAAUACCGCAUACGUCCUACGGGAGAAAGCAGGGGAUCUUCGGACCUUGCGCUAAUAGAUGAGCCUAAGUCGGAUUAGCUAGUUGGUGGGGUAAAGGCCUACCAAGGCGACGAUCUGUAGCGGGUCUGAGAGGAUGAUCCGCCACACUGGGACUGAGACGCGGCCCAAACUCCUACGGGAGGCAGCAGUGGGGAAUAUUGGACAAUGGGGGGAACCCUGAUCCAGCCAUGCCGCGUGUGUGAAGAAGGCCUUAUGGUUGUAAAGCACUUUAAGCGAGGAGGAGGCUACUCUAGUUAAUACCUAGGGAUAGUGGACGUUACUCGCAGAAUAAGCACCGGCUAACUCUGUGCCAGCAGCCGCCGUAA